RNAcentral lists this ribosomal RNA (497 nucleotides) under uncultured bacterium. Its description in RNAcentral is "partial 16S ribosomal RNA". It matches the Rfam family "Bacterial small subunit ribosomal RNA", at positions 28 to 507 of the family's 1533-position model. The record is from RNAcentral.
GAUGAACGCUGGCGGCGUGCCUAAUACAUGCAAGUCGAGCGAACAGAUGAGGAGCUUGCUCCUCUGACGUUAGCGGCGGACGGGUGAGUAACACGUGGAUAACCUACCUAUAAGACGGGGAUAACUUCGGGAAACCGGAGCUAAUACCGGAUAAUAUAUUGAACCGCAUGGUUCAAUAGUGAAAGACGGUUUUGCUGUCACUUAUAGAUGGAUCCGCGCCGCAUUAGCUAGUUGGUAAGGUAACGGCUUACCAAGGCAACGAUGCGUAGCCGACCUGAGAGGGUGAUCGGCCACACUGGAACUGAGACACGGUCCAGACUCCUACGGGAGGCAGCAGUAGGGAAUCUUCCGCAAUGGGCGAAAGCCUGACGGAGCCACGCCGCGUGAGUGAUGAAGGUCUUCGGAUCGUAAAACUCUGUUAUUAGGGAAGAACAAAUGUGUAAGUAACUAUGCACGUCUUGACGGUACCUAAUCAGAAAGCCACGGCUAACUACGUG